ACGCUGGCGGCGUGCCUAACACAUGCAAGUCGAACGAGAAAGUACCCUUCGGGGUGCGAGUAAAGUGGCAAACGGGUGAGUAACGCGUGGGAUAUCUACCCUGAUGAGAGGAAUAACUCUCCGAAAGGAGAGCUAAUACCGCAUAAUCCGGAAACGGGAAAGGCCUUAUGGUCGCAUCUGGAGGAGCCCGCGUCCGAUUAGCUGGUUGGUGAGGUAAUGGCUCACCAAGGCGACGAUCGGUAGCCGGUCUGAGAGGACGGACGGUCACACUGGGACUGAGACACGGCCCAGACUCCUACGGGAGGCAGCAGUGGGGAAUUUUGGGCAAUGGGGGAAACCCUGACCCAGCAACGCCGCGUGGAGGAAGAAGGUUUUCGAAUCGUAAACUCCUGUCCCACGAGAAGAAGCAAGUGACGGUAUCGUGGGAGGAAGCCCCGGCUAACUCCGUGCCAGCAGCCGCGGUAAUACGGGGGGGGCGAGCGUUGUUCGGAAUUACUGGGCGUAAAGGGCGCGUAGGCGGUUUCGGAAGUCAAGGGUGAAAGCCCCGAGCUCAACUCGGGAAUUGCCUUUGAAACCACGGAACUAGAGUGCUGGAGAGGAAAGCGGAAUUUCCAGUGUAGCGGUGAAAUGCGUAGAUAUUGGAAGGGACAUCUGAGGCGAAGGCGGCUUUCUGGACAGACACUGACGCUGAGGCGCGAAAGCCAGGGGAGCGAACGGGAUUAGAUACCCCGGUAGUCCUGGCUGUAAACGAUGAACACUUGGUGUGGGGGGUAUAAAGUCCCUCCGUGCCGAAGAUAACUCGAUAAGUGUUCCGCCUGGGGAGUACGGCCGCAAGGCUGAAACUCAAAGGAAUUGACGGGGGCCCGCACAAGCGGUGGAGCAUGUGGUUUAAUUCGACGCAACGCGAAGAACCUUACCGGGGUUUGAACUGUA
Molecule: ribosomal RNA, 933 nt
Filed under: uncultured organism
Description: bacterial SSU rRNA
Rfam family: Bacterial small subunit ribosomal RNA
Source: RNAcentral